This is a long non-coding RNA of Sceloporus undulatus (fence lizard), 808 nucleotides long. RefSeq lists it as uncharacterized. The record is from RefSeq and is a predicted model, not a curated record. NCBI's taxonomy places the organism in Eukaryota, Metazoa, Chordata, Lepidosauria, Squamata, Phrynosomatidae. The transcript is spliced from 2 exons.
CAUUACCUAGUAAUACAAAUAUAGCAGUUAGUCAAACAUUACCUAUUAAUACCAAAGGGCAGCAGGGGCAGAGCUUUGGAAAAGUUACUUUUUUAGACUGGGGGAUUCUGAGAGUUGUAGCCUUCAAAAGCUUCAGGUUCAGCUGCUUGUACUUUUUCUAUUGCAGGAAACUGACAGUUGGAGGGUCCUAUGGAACCUGUUGAAAAUGGGAACCCAGUAUUUAUUUAUUUAGCUUUCAGAUGCAAGACUGGAUAUAAGAUGGUGCCAAGUUAACUGAGAGAGUUGGGAGAGAGAGAACCCGGCCUGCUAAAUCAAAUGAGAGAAUACAACAGCAGCAACAGUGAUGGAAAGAGCAGUCCAGAAGUGAAAAGUAUGAUGUCAUCAAUCUUGGCCAACACAACAUGAGGAUCCCUCCAAAGAAAUGUGGCUCUUUACAAGGAAAAAAAAGGUGCCCAACUCCUGUUUUGGGGUACCUGAAGGGAGAUGGCAGAAAUACCCCCACCAUCAUGAAGUUCCCAGAAUGACCUUAAUUCAGUCACUAUUUUCUUGACCAAAAUUCCUCACAAGGAUAUUAUGAAGAUAAUAUGGGAUGUGCUUCAACCAUUCUUAUGUUUAAAAACAUGUUAAACAUACCUAUUUUUGAAAGUCUUCUGGCUUCCUCCCAUUUAUGUUAAUGGACAAUGUAGAUAUUUCACCCUGAUUUUGUGUUGUUUUAUGUUGUUAUAUUAUGCUUGUGCAUUGAUUUGAAAUCUUCAGAUGAACUUGGUUCAUAAAUAUUCAUACAUGAAUACAUACCAUAUAUACUCAA